CCGGGUUUUCGCCAAAAAAGCCUCCAGAAUCCCCCCGGUUCUCUUUUAUUCAUUUGCUGUCUCAAAGAUUAAGCCAUGCAUGUCUAAGUAUAAGCAACUUGUACUGUGAAACUGCGAAUGGCUCAUUAAAUCAGUUAUCGUUUAUUUGAUAGUACCUUACUACAUGGGAUACCUGUGGUAAUUCUAGAGCUAAUACAUGCUAAAAACCCCGACUUCAGGAAGGGGUGUAUUUAUUAGAUAAAAAACCAACGCCCUUCGGGGCUCCUUGGUGAAUCAUAAUAACUUAACGAAUCGCAUGGCCUUGCGCCGGCGAUGGUUCAUUCAAAUUUCUGCCCUAUCAACUUUCGAUGGUAGGAUAGUGGCCUACCAUGGUGGCAACGGGUAACGGGGAAUUAGGGUUCGAUUCCGGAGAGGGAGCCUGAGAAACGGCUACCACAUCCAAGGAAGGCAGCAGGCGCGCAAAUUACCCAAUCCCGAUACGGGGAGGUAGUGACAAUAAAUACUGAUACGGGGCUCUUUUGGGUCUCGUAAUUGGAAUGAGAACAAUUUAAAUCCCUUAACGAGGAACAAUUGGAGGGCAAGUCUGGUGCCAGCAGCCGCGGUAAUUCCAGCUCCAAUAGCGUAUAUUAAAGUUGUUGCAGUUAAAAAGCUCGUAGUUGAACCUUGGGCCUGGCUGGCCGGUCCGCCUCACCGCGAGUACUGGUCCGGCUGGGCCUUUCCUUCUGGGGAACCUCAUGGCCUUCACUGGCUGUGGGGGGAACCAGGACUUUUACUGUGAAAAAAUUAGAGUGUUCAAAGCAGGCCUUUGCUCGAAUACAUUAGCAUGGAAUAAUAGAAUAGGACGUGUGGUUCUAUUUUGUUGGUUUCUAGGACCGCCGUAAUGAUUAAUAGGGAUAGUCGGGGGCGUCAGUAUUCAGCUGUCAGAGGUGAAAUUCUUGGAUUUGCUGAAGACUAACUACUGCGAAAGCAUUCGCCAAGGAUGUUUUCAUUAAUCAGGGAACGAAAGUUAGGGGAUCGAAGACGAUCAGAUACCGUCGUAGUCUUAACCAUAAACUAUGCCGACUAGGGAUCGGACGGGAUUCUAUAAUGACCCGUUCGGCACCUUACGAGAAAUCAAAGUUUUUUGGGUUUUGGGGGGAAAUUGGUCGCAAGGCUGAAACUUAAAGGAAUUUGAGG
RNAcentral lists this ribosomal RNA (1176 nucleotides) under Evansstolkia leycettana. RNAcentral's name for it is "SSU rRNA". It matches the Rfam family "Eukaryotic small subunit ribosomal RNA", at positions 1 to 1159 of the family's 1831-position model. The record is from RNAcentral. Lineage: Eukaryota; Fungi; Ascomycota; Eurotiomycetes; Eurotiales; Aspergillaceae.